GGGCCUGUAGUUUAAGGGUAGAACACGUUGCUCAUAACAACGCCAAUGCAGGUUCAACCCCUGCCAGGCCCA
RNAcentral lists this transfer RNA (72 nucleotides) under Trebouxiophyceae sp. MX-AZ01. Its description in RNAcentral is "tRNA-Ile". It matches the Rfam family "tRNA". Rfam says of the family: Transfer RNA (tRNA) molecules are approximately 80 nucleotides in length. Their secondary structure includes four short double-helical elements and three loops (D, anti-codon, and T loops). Further hydrogen bonds mediate the characteristic L-shaped molecular structure. tRNAs have two regions of fundamental functional importance: the anti-codon, which is responsible for specific mRNA codon recognition, and the 3' end, to which the tRNAs corresponding amino acid is attached (by aminoacyl-tRNA synthetases). tRNAs cope with the degeneracy of the genetic code in two manners: having more than one tRNA (with a specific anti-codon) for a particular amino acid; and 'wobble' base-pairing, i.e. permitting non-standard base-pairing at the 3rd anti-codon position. Lineage: Eukaryota; Viridiplantae; Chlorophyta; Trebouxiophyceae. The record is from RNAcentral.